This 242-nucleotide ribosomal RNA is filed under the name uncultured bacterium. RNAcentral describes it as "partial 16S ribosomal RNA". It matches the Rfam family "Bacterial small subunit ribosomal RNA", at positions 92 to 334 of the family's 1533-position model. The record is from RNAcentral.
CGACCGGCAAACGGGUGCGGAACACGUACACAACUUACCCAAAACUGGUGAAUAGCCCUCCGAAAGGAGGAUUAAUACACCGUAACAUAUAGAGAAGGCAUCUUUUUUAUAUUAUAGCUCCGGCGGUUUUGGAUGGGUGUGCGCCUGAUUAGGUAGUUGGCGGGGUAACGGCCCACCAAGCCUACGAUCAGUAACUGGUGUGAGAGCACGACCAGUCACACGGGCACUGAGACACGGGCCCG